GGACUACUGGGGUAUCUAAUCCUGUUUGAUCCCCACGCUUUCGGUGAUGAGUGUCAGUGUCUGCCCAGCUACCCGCCUUCGCCUCCGGUAUUCCUCCUGAUAUCUACGUAUUUCACCACUACACCAGGAAUUCUAGUAGCCUCUACAGCACUCAAGCUCAGCAGUAUCAAGUGCACUUCCUGGGUUGAGCCCAGGGCUUUCACACCUGACUUACCAAGCCACCUGCCACCGCUUUACGCCCAAUGAUUCCGAACAACGCUAGGGUCCCUCGUCUUACCGCGGCGGCUGGCAC
Molecule: ribosomal RNA, 292 nt
Filed under: uncultured bacterium
Lineage: Bacteria
Description: partial 16S ribosomal RNA
Source: RNAcentral